AUUAGUGGCGAACGGGUGAGUAACACGUGAGUAACCUGCCCUUGACUCUGGGAUAAGCCUGGGAAACUGGGUCUAAUACUGGAUACGACCUUCCAUCGCAUGGUGGUUGGUGGAAAGCUUUUGUGGUUUUGGAUGGACUCGCGGCCUAUCAGCUUGUUGGUGGGGUAAUGGCCUACCAAGGCGACGACGGGUAGCCGGCCUGAGAGGGUGGACGGCCACACUGGGACUGAGACACGGCCCAGACUCCUACGGGAGGCAGCAGUGGGGAAUAUUGCACAAUGGGCGCAAGCCUGAUGCAGCGACGCCGCGUGAGGGAUGAAGGCCUUCGGGUUGUAAACCUCUUUCAGUAGGGAAGAAGCGAAAGUGACGGUACCUGCAGAAGAAGCGCCGGCUAACUACGUGCCAGCAGCCGCGGUAAUACGUAGGGCGCAAGCGUUAUCCGGAAUUAUUGGGCGUAAAGAGCUCGUAGGCGGUUUGUCGCGUCUGCCGUGAAAGUCCGGGGCUUAACUCCGGAUCUGCGGUGGGUACGGGCAGACUUGAGUGAUGUAGGGGAGACUGGAAUUCCUGGUGUAGCGGUGAAAUGCGCAGAUAUCAGGAGGAACACCGAUGGCGAAGGCAGGUCUCUGGGCAUUAACUGACGCUGAGGAGCGAAAGCAUGGGGAGCGAACAGGAUUAGAUACCCUGGUAGUCCAUGCCGUAAACGUUGGGCACUAGGUGUGGGGGACAUUCCACGUUUUCCGCGCCGUAGCUAACGCAUUAAGUGCCCCGCCUGGGGAGUACGGCCGCAAGGCUAAAACUCAAAGGAAUUGACGGGGGCCCGCACAAGCGGCGGAGCAUGCGGAUUAUUUCGAUGCAACGCGAAGAACCUUACCAAGGCUUGACAUGAACCGGAACGGCGCAGAGAUGUGUCGGCCACUUGUGGCCGGUUUACAGGUGUCGCAUGGUUGUCGUCAGCUCGUGUCGUGAGAUGUUGGGUUAAGUCCCGCAACGAGCGCAACCCUCGUUCCAUGUCGCCAGCGGGUUUUGCCGGGACCUCAUGGGCGG
RNAcentral lists this ribosomal RNA (1044 nucleotides) under Arthrobacter sp. MJAU D0059. Its description in RNAcentral is "bacterial SSU rRNA". It matches the Rfam family "Bacterial small subunit ribosomal RNA", at positions 91 to 1148 of the family's 1533-position model. Lineage: Bacteria; Bacillati; Actinomycetota; Actinomycetes; Micrococcales; Micrococcaceae. The record is from RNAcentral. RNAcentral also lists the same sequence under 1 other name.